This 253-nucleotide ribosomal RNA is filed under the name uncultured bacterium. Its description in RNAcentral is "partial 16S ribosomal RNA". It matches the Rfam family "Bacterial small subunit ribosomal RNA", at positions 524 to 776 of the family's 1533-position model. The record is from RNAcentral.
UACAGAGGUCCCGAGCGUUGUUCGGAUUCACUGGGCGUAAAGGGUGCGUAGGUGGCAUGGCAAGUUUGAUGUGAAAGCUCAGGGCUUAACCCUGAAAUGGCAUUGAAUACUGCUGUGCUGGAGGUUUGGAGGGGGGACUGGAAUUCUCGGUGUAGCAGUGAAAUGCGUAGAUAUCGAGAGGAACACCAGUGGCGGAGGCGAGUCCCUGGACAACACCUGACACUGAGGCACGAAAGCCGGGGGAGCAAACAGG